GACGAACGCUGGCGGCGUGCUUAACACAUGCAAGUCGAACGGAAAGGCCCUGCUUUUGUGGGGUGCUCGAGUGGCGAACGGGUGAGUAACACGUGAGUAACCUGCCCUGGACUUUGGGAUAACUUCAGGAAACUGGGGCUAAUACCGGAUAGGAGCUCCUGCUGCAUGGUGGGGGUUGGAAAGUUUCGGCGGUUGGGGAUGGACUCGCGGGUUAUCAGCUUGUUGGUGGGGUAGUUGCUUACCAAGGCUUUGACGGGUAGCCGGCCUGAGAGGGUGACCGGCCACAUUGGGACUGAGAUACGGCCCAGAGUCCUACGGGAGGCAGCAGUGGGGAAUAUUGCACAAUGGGCGGAAGCCUGAUGCAGCAACGCCGCGUGCGGGAUGACGGCCUUCGGGUUGUAAACCGCUUUCGCCUGUGACGAAGCGUGAGUGACGGUAAUGGGUAAAGAAGCACCGGCUAACUACGUG
Molecule: ribosomal RNA, 468 nt
Filed under: uncultured bacterium
Lineage: Bacteria
Description: partial 16S ribosomal RNA
Rfam family: Bacterial small subunit ribosomal RNA
Source: RNAcentral